AUACAUUAGAACGUGUCUGAACA
RNAcentral lists this microRNA (23 nucleotides) under Spodoptera frugiperda (fall armyworm). Its description in RNAcentral is "sfr-miR-10452-3p". The record is from miRBase by way of RNAcentral. Lineage: Eukaryota; Metazoa; Arthropoda; Insecta; Lepidoptera; Noctuidae.